AUAAUUCUUAUUUCAUAUAUGUUUCAGUUAUUGCAUGAACGAAACAAAGACAUAUAUAAAACCAACGUUCUUACCUUGAAAUUCGCCCUUUGGACAUUAAAUGUAUCUAUAUUACAAUACAUUAACUAUGCUUGGUGAUUUGAUUCUUAUCCAUUUCUUAGUUAUCAUGUAAAAGAACAAAUAUAACUGACUCCUAUCAUUCGUGUCAAUAUAAAAAAAAUAUCUCUUGUCAGACUCAUAUGGAUAAUGUCACCACUGUUGAAACAGUGUCAGUUGAGAACAAAAAAUAAAUAAACUUAUGUGCCAAGUUUAGAUUGCCUUACACUUCAUGCUUGGAAACACGUAUGUCGUGCCACCUGGAGCUCCGUUUUGUUUUGAUUGUAGAAUUACUUAUGUGAUCAAUACUAGUAUUUUUGGUAUUUUCUUGGAAAGUGGCUGUUUUAACAAAAUAUUAUAAAAUUACUCAACAAUGUGUGUGGAGCUCCAUCGAUGGUGAACAGCAUAAAAACAAGUAAGUAAUUUGAAGGGUAAAGAAGGAGUAAUAAUACAGAUUUUUUAAAAUUUGCGAGAUUUACAUUCUACGACAGUGGAAAGUGGGUGUUUUAAUAAAAAAUAAUAAAAUUACUUAACAAUGUGUGGAGCUCCAUCGAUGGUGAACAGCAUAAAAACAAUUUUUACAAGAAACAUAUGUUCAGAAAACCGUUGAAAUUGCAUAGAUCUGGUUGUUUUUGUGUCUUUGUUGUCCUCAUAACAGAUAACUUCUACUUUGCCUGCAAAAAUGUGGCCGCGUCCUUUCGGUGGUUGAGUGGACGAUGUCUGUAUUUUCCAGCCGAAGAAUGCUGUGACGUUAUCGUAAGAGAAAGAAUAUGAGGCGGUGUCCAGUUUCUGUAUCAACUAAGUGCAGCUUUCAUAAUUCUCCUCCACCAGAGCAAAGAGGUCUGAUGAGUCAUCAAAACUUUGUUAUGUAUACAUACUUAUGGCAAAGGUACAAGGGCUAUCUACCACCAUACUUUAUUUUGAAAAAUGAUCAAAGACAGCCAGUCAGAAGCACCCUUGAUGUGAACAUGCCACAAAAAUGUUAGCAAGUAUAAGAGGAAUAAAAAAAUGCCUUCAUGUUACUGGAAAUCUAUAUACUGCUGUUUUUGCUUCCUUACAA
Limulus polyphemus (Atlantic horseshoe crab) is the source of this 1156-nucleotide long non-coding RNA. RefSeq lists it as uncharacterized. The transcript has 3 exons. The record is from RefSeq and is a predicted model, not a curated record. NCBI's taxonomy places the organism in Eukaryota, Metazoa, Arthropoda, Merostomata, Xiphosura, Limulidae.